AGUGAACGCUGGCGGUAGGCCUAACACAUGCAAGUCGAACGGCAGCACAGUAAGAGCUUGCUCUUACGGGUGGCGAGUGGCGGACGGGUGAGGAAUACAUCGGAAUCUGCUUUUUCGUGGGGGAUAACGUAGGGAAACUUACGCUAAUACCGCAUACGACCUACGGGUGAAAGCAUGGGAUCUUCGGACCUUGCGCGAUUGAAUGAGCCGAUGUCGGAUUAGCUAGUUGGCGGGGUAAAGGGCCACCAAGGCGACGAUCCGUAGCUGGUCUGAGAGGAUGAUCAGCCACACUGGAACUGAGACACGGUCCAGACUCCUACGGGAGGCGGCAGUGGGGAAUAUUGGACAAUGGGCGCAAGCCUGAUCCAGCCAUACCGCGUGGGUGAAGAAGGCCUUCGGGUUGUAAAGCCCUUUUGUUGGGAAAGAAAAGCAGCAGGUUAAUACCCCGCUGUUCUGACGGUACCAAAAGAAUAAGCACCGGCUAACUUCGUG
This 492-nucleotide ribosomal RNA is filed under the name uncultured bacterium. RNAcentral's name for it is "partial 16S ribosomal RNA". It matches the Rfam family "Bacterial small subunit ribosomal RNA", at positions 29 to 507 of the family's 1533-position model. The record is from RNAcentral.